This 474-nucleotide ribosomal RNA is filed under the name uncultured bacterium. RNAcentral's name for it is "bacterial SSU rRNA". It matches the Rfam family "Bacterial small subunit ribosomal RNA", at positions 28 to 507 of the family's 1533-position model. The record is from RNAcentral.
GAUGAACGCUGGCGGCGUGCCUCAAACAUGCAAGUCGAGCGGGGCUAUGUAAUACCGCAAGGUAGAACAUAGCCUAGCGGCGAACGGGUGAGUAACACGUGGGUAACCUGCCUGGAAGACAGGGAUAACGAUUCGAAAGGGUCGCUAAUACCUGAUAAUAUCCUUUCAUCGCAUGGUGAUAGGAAGAAAGGGGAAACCCGCUUUCAGAUGGGCCCGCGUCCCAUCAGCUAGUUGGUAAGGUAAAGGCUUACCAAGGCGACGACGGGUAGCCGGUCUGAGAGGAUGUACGGCCACACUGGGACUGAGAUACGGCCCAGACUCCUACGGGAGGCAGCAGUUGGGAAUCUUAGGCAAUGGACGAAAGUCUGACCUAGCGACGCCGCGUGAGGGAAGAAGGCCUUCGGGUUGUAAACCUCUGUCAUGGGGGAAGAAGUAAGUGACGGUACCCAACGAGGAAGCCCUGCUAACUACGUG